GGACUUCACUUAGACAGGUACCAAGCAUACUAAUAAAACAUUAUGAGUGAAAAGACGCUAACAAUCAACUUGACAAAUUGAAGUGAAAGUAUUCAUAUUGUAACAUUAAAGAUAAACAUCCUAAUUAUCUAAAUUCUUUGGCAUGCACAUCUAUUGAUCAAAUUUACAUUCUUCCACCAUUUUCAAUUACAUCACCAUUCACCCGUAUUCUCCUGAGAUGAAGUUUCUGAAAUGAGAUAAAUAUUACUGUUCUUCAUCCUCUAAAGUAAAAUCGUUAUGGACCACCGAACCCUUGACUCUUGGCCUCCCCAACUAACCUAUGCACCACCUCUUCCUAUAGCAUCCAGGAGAAACCUUAUUUUCUCUCCAUUUCCAGAAAAAAGAAAACAACAAUUUCUACACAUGUUCUUCUACAAACAAUAAGUGUUGUCUUUAAUUGGUGAGGUUAUUAUUGUGGCAGAUAUGGAAUUCCUCGAUUGAGGAAGUUACAAGCAAACAUUGAUAAAGUUACAACGGAGAAUUUUU
Molecule: unclassified non-coding RNA, 525 nt
Filed under: Hevea brasiliensis (rubber tree)
Lineage: Eukaryota; Viridiplantae; Streptophyta; Magnoliopsida; Malpighiales; Euphorbiaceae
Source: RNAcentral